Long non-coding RNA from Fukomys damarensis (Damara mole-rat), 532 nucleotides. RefSeq lists it as uncharacterized. The transcript is spliced from 3 exons. The record is from RefSeq and is a predicted model, not a curated record. Lineage: Eukaryota; Metazoa; Chordata; Mammalia; Rodentia; Bathyergidae.
GUCCCAGUGCAGCCUUCAGAGGAGGGUAUGGCUGGCUGGACCGUGGGGCUGACCUCACAUUUGACCAUUGGCAGCAUCAUCGCUUGAUGGCCUUAGGGAAGUGACUUUGUUAUAACAGUGACCUCGCUGCUCCCUGGGCCAGCACAGCAUGAACAGCUGUGCCCCAGCACAUCCUCCACCAUGAUGAUUGGCUUCACCACAACCCAGCAGCACUGCAGCCAGCAGCCAUGGACUGAACCUCUAAAACCAUAAGCCAGAACGAAAACUUCAACUUGCUGUGUCAGGUAUUUUGUCUCAGCCAUGAGAAUCUGGCUAACACAGAGAUGAUGAAAGCACUGACCCCUCAGAAAGAUGUCUUGGAAUUUUCUACAUGGACAACCAUGCUACCCACAGAUCACACCGUCUGCUUCUACACCUACACCGCCUGGGGAGCAGAGCUGUGACACCGAGUGGCCGUAACUGUGACAAACCACACGCCUGGUGCCAGCAGUGAUGGAUGGAAUGAUGAGCCAAAUUAAUAAAACAGAGAUCA